RNAcentral lists this ribosomal RNA (237 nucleotides) under uncultured bacterium. Its description in RNAcentral is "partial 16S ribosomal RNA". It matches the Rfam family "Bacterial small subunit ribosomal RNA", at positions 99 to 334 of the family's 1533-position model. The record is from RNAcentral.
CGAACGGGUGAGUAACGCGUGAGGAACCUGCCUCAAAGAGGGGGACAACAGUUGGAAACGACUGCUAAUACCGCAUAAGCCCACGGCUCGGCAUCGAGCAGAGGGAAAAGGAGUGAUCCGCUUUGAGAUGGCCUCGCGUCCGAUUAGCUAGUUGGCGAGGUAACGGCCCACCAAGGCGACGAUCGGUAGCCGGACUGAGAGGUUGAACGGCCACAUUGGGACUGAGACACGGCCCAG